Molecule: ribosomal RNA, 434 nt
Filed under: uncultured bacterium
Lineage: Bacteria
Description: partial 16S ribosomal RNA
Rfam family: Bacterial small subunit ribosomal RNA
Source: RNAcentral
GAUGAACGCUGGCGGUAUGCUUAACACAUGCAAGUCGAACGGACUCUUCGGAGUUAGUGGCGGACGGGUGAGUAACGCGUGAGAAUCUGGCUUUGGGUUCGGGACAACCACUGGAAACGGUGGCUAAUACCGGAUGUGCCGAGAGGGAAAAGAGAAAUUGCCUGAAGAUGAGCUCGCGUCUGAUUAGCUAGUUGGUGAGGUAAAGGCUCACCAAGGCAGCGAUCAGUAGCUGGUCUGAGAGGAUGACCAGCCACACUGGGACUGAGACACGGCCCAGACUACUACGGGAGGCAGCGGGGGGGAAUGUUCCGCAAUGGGCGAAAGCCUGACGGAGCAAUACCGCGUGAAGGAAGAAGGCUCUUGGGUUGUAAACCUCUGUUCUUAGGGAAGAACAAAAUGACGGUACCGAAGGAAUCAGCAUCGGCUAACUCCGU